Molecule: long non-coding RNA, 928 nt
Organism: Daphnia pulex (common water flea)
Lineage: Eukaryota; Metazoa; Arthropoda; Branchiopoda; Diplostraca; Daphniidae
Exons: 5
Source: RefSeq, a predicted model, not a curated record
GAUCUAGCUCGUUGACAUUCAAUUGAAAGAACUGGCAAACAAAGCUUCACACAUCACAAAAGACGAAAUCCCCAAGGUGAUAUUGAACGCCACUUCAACUUCUACACUGAGGAGAAGGCACUCAAGGUAGAUAUCCGUUCAUGUUGUCUGCAAGUGAUUCCAGACGUUUCAGGGCAACAGUGCUGAACAGUGGAUUGCUGAAAGGGAAAACACCCAGUUGGUAAGGGUUCAAUGGCCAUUGAUAAUUGGAGAGUAUUAUUGGAAUGCAACAGCUUAUCUGGCUUCGUCUGGUCCUAAGUUACACCAAACAAAACACAUCAUAAGUUACUUUAAAAAAUCUAAACAAAUUUAGAUUAGGAUAUUUGGACUUAAUAUUUCAACUUAAAUUUCAGCUGAAGUUUUUGUGUGACCUAGGUGCUUGUGACAAUAGAAAUCAAGGUUAACUUCCCCUGUCAAAUCGUGGUAAAUCUUCAAGAUAUUGAUGCCUUCCCCAGAUCCAAUUCUUUGCUGCUAUCUCUUCAAAAAACAAGGAACUGAACACUCACCCACUGGGAUAAUCAGGAGGAUGAGGAGGGCCCUGGUUGAAUGAGGACUUGGAAGGUGCAUGAUUUGAUGAAAACUUCUAGAGAACCAUUAGUCUAACUUGGAAAUCUUCUUUGUCUAAUUAUUCCCUAGCUAAAAUGGCUUUGCACCCAUAUCUCUUCUUCCUUGUCCAGAUAACUCCCUGGCACAAUCAAUCAAUGCAGUUACUUUCCUUUCUUGAUUGACCUUAUGUGUGAGUUUAAACAAAUUGACUAGCAUUUAGGCAUGCAAUGAGGAAAAAAGCUACUGGUGAGAUUGCAACUGUUGCUCUGUAUUUAUGAAACAUGGUUUUUUACUGAAGAUUAUUCUAUAGGUUUUUUAAUAUACUGAUUUAUAAUUAAGGUUA